Carassius auratus (goldfish) is the source of this 1998-nucleotide long non-coding RNA. RefSeq lists it as uncharacterized. The record is from RefSeq and is a predicted model, not a curated record. The transcript is spliced from 2 exons. NCBI's taxonomy places the organism in Eukaryota, Metazoa, Chordata, Actinopteri, Cypriniformes, Cyprinidae.
UGAUGAAGAUUUAAAAAGUAAUUUAAUGUGUCCGAGCUAAUUUCUUCACCAGUCCUGAGAAAGUUCUCUUCUGAUUUUCUGAUGGUGGUCAUUAUUCCCUCCCAGAUUUUAUGUAACAUACCUCACGUACUCUUUCUCACACCCUCGUGUAGCGCUAUUGACCUCAAAAGGCCUUAAAUCUUCAACAGAAACAGAUAGUUGUCGUGGGGCCCGUUUUAUUUACACAGCUGGCAGAGGGUCGUUUGAGCUGAUGCCAACGUGCUAGGUACGUUUUCCGUGAGCUCCUGAAACUUCACCCGCCAGUGGCAUUAGCUCGAGCUAACAGUUUGUGCGUUUGUGUACGCGGUCGCCAUGGCAGCAGCGCCGGUGACAGACACGCGCGCUCAGCUGCUGUUAGCCGCGCGACAGGAAUGUCCACGAGAGCGCAGUUGUCGGUUUUCAGUUGCCAGCCGCCACCAAGCGGAGCUCCAACUAUUAUAGCGCUCAUACGAGCAUACAUUACAUAAAAUGUAUCAACAAAACAUCCAAAGUCAACAGAACUAAUGGAAGAGAAGGAAAGACACAAAAAAAGAAAAAAGAGAAAGAAAAAAGAAACAAAAAUACAACAAAUCAAGUAUUAAUCAUUGAACAUUAAAGAUCUCAUCAUAUCUCCUCAAAAAAGAAACACAUUUUUUUGUUAUUAAUUAGUCUUAGUGAUUUAAUUAAAUAUUCUACUUCAUAUAAGAAUUCUAUAAAAUUAGGUUUUUUCUUAAGAAAAACUCUACAUCGUUACAUCUAAAUUCUAAUGACUAAUGAAGUUUACAUGGUUUUGGCCAAUGAAACGCUCUCAUACAGCAGGUCAAAGAACAUAUGGGUCAAAGGGCAAUGCCAGCAUGACAUUUUCAUUUAGGCUAUUAUUAAAAUGUAUUUAUAGCCUAAUAGCCUAUGCCUGCAUACAUAAAGAUCUUAAGAUUGAGAAGUUAGGUGGAAUUCAAUAAAUUAAAUAAAAAUUAAAUAAACGGGGUUAUGUAGUUAAAUGGAUGUCUUAUACAGCCAAUUUGAUUAUGUUAAAAUUUAGACUUGCAACUGAACUUGACUAGGUGGAUUUAUAAUUUAGAUUAAUUUAGACCAAUGUUUUAUGUAAACUCAUUAUAUAAAUACAUUUUAAAUGACUUCAGAUAUGCUGACAAAAAAGAGCUAACCAACUUAAAUACUUUGCAUUUAUCUUCAUUUUAGCUUAAUGAAAACGUGGUACCUAUACCAAGGAUAAACACUGUACAUAUAAAUAAAGAUAUAUUAUAUAUUAUUAAAAGUUACACUUUGAAAUAUUUUUACACCAAAAGAUGACAGAAAAAAUCCCAAAAAGACAAAAAAAAAACUUUAUUCAUGGUUGAUUAUCUUCCCGGGUACAAGACUGCCAUAAAUAUUCUCAAGAAUGUAAACAUCUGGUGAAAUCAUGGAAACCAGGCAGCAUGAGCUGCCUGAAGAGGAAUGAAGAGUGUAAGAAAGCCCUCUGAUUAAAUAAAUAACACAGCAGCAGCUCGAAUACGAAGUCCUGUUAUAAUGCUCUAAUGUUAUCAUUUAGAAAUAUUUCACUUUUGUUAUUAUGGGGUAAAUAAUUCUGUCUCAUGGCCAGAGUGCCGAGGAUUAUCCUGAAUAGUUUUAUACAUUCCUCUUCUUUAUAAAAAUAUUAACUGAAUUUGCGCUUAUCAUUCUUAAAUGGAGAAAACGGGGCUGGCCUUAUUGUAAGGACUCUUAUAGUUCACUCUUAAAAAUAAAGGUUCUCUAAUGGCAUUCAUGGAUCCAUUAAGAGCUUUUAACAUCCAUGCAACCUUUUCAUUCCACUUUACAGAGGAUGAAUGUUCUUCACACUAAGAAAAAAAUGGUUCCUGAACUGUUUACUGAAAGAAUCUUUGGGAAGCCAAAAAUUGUUCUUCUGUGAAAUCUUGGCAAAACAAACAAAAAAAAAAAUAAAAAACGCUUUUGGAUCCUUUAUUUUUAAGAGUGUGCAACCCUUCA